This 253-nucleotide ribosomal RNA is filed under the name uncultured bacterium. RNAcentral's name for it is "partial 16S ribosomal RNA". It matches the Rfam family "Bacterial small subunit ribosomal RNA", at positions 524 to 776 of the family's 1533-position model. The record is from RNAcentral.
UACGUAGGGAGCAAGCGUUGUCCGGAAUCAUUGGGCGUAAAGAGCGUGUAGGCGGCCCGAUAAGUCCGCUGUGAAAGUCCAGGGCUCAACCCUGGAAUGCCGGUGGAUACUGUCGGGCUCGAAUCCGGAAGAGGUGAGUGGAAUUCCUGGUGUAGCGGUGAAAUGCGCAGAUAUCAGGAGGAACACCAAUGGCGAAGGCAGCUCACUGGGACGGUAUUGACGCUGAGACGCGAAAGCGUGGGGAGCAAACAGG